Molecule: long non-coding RNA, 355 nt
Organism: Portunus trituberculatus (swimming crab)
Lineage: Eukaryota; Metazoa; Arthropoda; Malacostraca; Decapoda; Portunidae
Exons: 2
Source: RefSeq, a predicted model, not a curated record
UAAGACUCGAAAGCUUCUCAGAAUGUUGUUAUAAGCGAUAUUCCAGCGACUGAGGUGUGGGGAGGCACGGCGAGCGGUUACGGAGCUUCGUCAGGCUGCGUUACUGGUUUCCUGGUGUUUGUUCUUGGUAUAGGAGUGGUCUAACUGCUGCCCUCACACCUUGCUCCUUGAUGGACUGCCUGGAACAUGGGUUACUCCUCUCCGUGAUGAUCUUGCUGGUGAAGGCCAUGAACUCCUGGAUGGAGCCCCGCUGGAAGUAACCAAACUGCUGCAGGUCAUACGCAGACUUGAGUGUCCUGGUGCUCUCUGUCCCCUUGUACAGAAUACUGAUGCUGUACAGCUUCACCAUUGUGCC